GAUGAACGCUGGCGGCGUGCCUAAUACAUGCAAGUCGAGCGAACGGACGAGAAGCUUGCUUCUCUGAUGUUAGCGGCGGACGGGUGAGUAACACGUGGAUAACCUACCUAUAAGACUGGGAUAACUUCGGGAAACCGGAGCUAAUACCGGAUGAUAUUUUGAACCGCAUGGUUCAAAAGUGAAAGACGGUCUUGCUGUCACUUAUAGAUGGAUCCGCGCUGCAUUAGCUAGUUGGUAAGGUAACGGCUUACCAAGGCAACGAUGCAUAGCCGACCUGAGAGGGUGACCGGCCACACUGGAACUGAGACACGGUCCAGACUCCUACGGGAGGCAGCAGUAGGGAAUCUUCCGCAAUGGGCGAAAGCCUGACGGAGCAACGCCGCGUGAGUGAUGAAGGUCUUCGGAUCGUAAAACUCUGUUAUUAGGGAAGAACAUAUGUGUAAGUAACUGUGCACAUCUUGACGGUACCUAAUCAGAAAGCCACGGCUAACUACGUGCCAGCAGCCGCGGUAAUACGUAGGUGGCGAGCGUUAUCCGGAAUUAUUGGGCGUAAAGCGCGCGUAGGCGGUUUUUUAAGUCUGAUGUGAAAGCCCACGGCUCAACCGUGGAGGGUCAUUGGAAACUGGAAAACUUGAGUGCAGAAGAGGAAAGUGGAAUUCCAUGUGUAGCGGUGAAAUGCGCAGAGAUAUGGAGGAACACCAGUGGCGAAGGCGACUUUCUGGUCUGUAACUGACGCUGAUGUGCGAAAGCGUGGGGAUCAAACAGGAUUAGAUACCCUGGUAGUCCACGCCGUAAACGAUGAGUGCUAAGUGUUAGGGGGUUUCCGCCCCUUAGUGCUGCAGCUAACGCAUUAAGCACUCCGCCUGGGGAGUACGACCGCAAGGUUGAAACUCAAAGGAAUUGACGGGGACCCGCACAAGCGGUGGAGCAUGUGGUUUAAUUCGAAGCAACGCGAAGAACCUUACCAAAUCUUGACAUCCUUUGACAACUCUAGAGAUAGAGCCUUCCCCUUCGGGGGACAAAGUGACAGGUGGUGCAUGGUUGUCGUCAGCUCGUGUCGUGAGAUGUUGGGUUAAGUCCCGCAACGAGCGCAACCCUUAAGCUUAGUUGCCAUCAUUAAGUUGGGCACUCUAAGUUGACUGCCGGUGACAAACCGGAGGAAGGUGGGGAUGACGUCAAAUCAUCAUGCCCCUUAUGAUUUGGGCUACACACGUGCUACAAUGGACAAUACAAAGGGCAGCGAAACCGCGAGGUCAAGCAAAUCCCAUAAAGUUGUUCUCAGUUCGGAUUGUAGUCUGCAACUCGACUACAUGAAGCUGGAAUCGCUAGUAAUCGUAGAUCAGCAUGCUACGGUGAAUACGUUCCCGGGUCU
This 1372-nucleotide ribosomal RNA is filed under the name uncultured bacterium. RNAcentral describes it as "bacterial SSU rRNA". It matches the Rfam family "Bacterial small subunit ribosomal RNA", at positions 28 to 1381 of the family's 1533-position model. The record is from RNAcentral.